This 71-nucleotide transfer RNA is filed under the name Loxodonta africana (African savanna elephant). It matches the Rfam family "tRNA". Rfam says of the family: Transfer RNA (tRNA) molecules are approximately 80 nucleotides in length. Their secondary structure includes four short double-helical elements and three loops (D, anti-codon, and T loops). The record is from Rfam by way of RNAcentral. Lineage: Eukaryota; Metazoa; Chordata; Mammalia; Proboscidea; Elephantidae.
GCGGUGGUGGUUCAGUGGUAGAAUUCUCACCUCCUGUGAGGGAGGCUCAGGUUCAAUUCCCGGCCAAUGCA